UAGAGGAAACACUCCUUUCCAUUCCGAACAGGAAAGUUAAGCUCUACAGCGCUAAUGGUACUGCACGGGCAGCUGUGUGGGAGAGUAGGACGUCGCCAGGU
Molecule: ribosomal RNA, 101 nt
Filed under: Clostridium gasigenes
Lineage: Bacteria; Bacillati; Bacillota; Clostridia; Eubacteriales; Clostridiaceae
Source: RNAcentral